GGUUACUCGCAUCUGACAUGGCCUGGCCACUUCCUCAGAGGCUCGUAGCGGCUUUGCUGCUCCUGUGUCUGCUCUAGGUCAGUUUAAACAGUGCUGGAGUGAUCCAUCCCUUAAAGGUUUGGUGGAACCUGAGGGGCCAACCUCAGCCUGCAGCUGGCACCUGAAAAGAAGGCCUCAGUGACUCAGAUGAUUGAUCCCAGCAGGGCAGUUUCCGUGGAGCCGACCAUAAGCCUCAGAGAUGCAGACUCCCACGUCCUUGGGGUGGGACUCUCCCUCCCUCCAUCCUGGA
This is a long non-coding RNA of Bos taurus (domestic cattle), 289 nucleotides long. The record is from Ensembl. NCBI's taxonomy places the organism in Eukaryota, Metazoa, Chordata, Mammalia, Artiodactyla, Bovidae.